GGAAGGAUCAUUAGAGAAUAGCCGAAAGGCUUCAUCCAAUUACACUGUGAACUGUGGCUUCGGCCUCUCUAAACUAUGUGUAUGAAUGUAUUAUAUUAUAAAUAAAACAACUUUCAACAACGGAUCUCUUGGCUCUCGCAUCGAUGAAGAACGCAGCGAAAUGCGAUAAGUAAUGUGAAUUGCAGAAUUCAGUGAAUCAUCGAAUCUUUGAACGCAACUUGCGCCCUCUGGUAUUCUGGAGGGCAUGCCUGUUUGAGUGUCAUGUAGACUCAUCUAAUCAGAUUUUCUGAUUGAGAUGGAUUUGGGAACUGCCCAACCUGGCUUUCCUUAAAAGCAUUAUGCAAACGUAAUAAGUUUCGUUGUACGCAUACAUCAUAUACUUUGUACACUGACCUCAAAUCAGGUAGGGCUACCCGCUGAACUUAAGCAUAUCAAUAAGCGGAGGAAAAGAAACUAACAAGGAUUCCCCUAGUAACGGCGAGUGAACCGGGAAGAGCUCAAAUUUGUAAUCUGUCGUUUUUCAAGCGACCGAGUUGUAAUCUACAGAGGCAUUUUCUGUGCUGGACCGCAUCCAAGUCCCUUGGAACAGGGUAUCAAAGAGGGUGACAAUCCCGUACUUGAUGCGAUUACCAGUGCUUUGUGAUAUGUUCUCAACGAGUCGAGUUGUUUGGGAAUGCAGCUCAAAAUGGGUGGUAAAUUCCAUCUAAAGCUAAAUAUUGGCGAGAGACCGAUAGCAAACAAGUACCGUGAGGGAAAGAUGAAAAGCACUUUGGAAAGAGAGUUAAACAGUACGUGAAAUUGUUGAAAGGGAAACGAUUGAAGUCAGUCAUGCAUAAGGUAAUCAGCUGUCUUUGACAGUGUAUUUGCCUUUUGUAGGUCAACAUCAGUUUUGAUCGAUGGAUAAGGGUAAUAGGAAAGUGGCACCUUCGGGUGUGUUAUAGCCUGUUGUCAUAUACAUUGAUCGAGACUGAGGAAUGCAGCUUGCCUUUAUGGCCGGGGUCUUACCUACGUUCAAGCUUAGGAUGUUGACAUAAUGGCUUUAAACGACCCGUCUUGAAACACGGACCAAGGAGUCUAACAUAUCUGCGAGUGUUUGGGUGUCAAACCCAAGCGCAAAAUGAAAGUGAACUUAGGAGGGAUCCGCAAGGAGCACCUUCGACCGAUCCGGAUCUCUUGUGAUGGAUUUGAGUAAGAGCAUAUAUGCUGGGACCCGAAAGAUGGUGAACUAUGCCUGAAUAGGGCGAAGCCAGGGGAAACUCUGGUGGAGGCUCGUAGCGAUUCUGACGUGCAAAUCGAUCGUCAAAUUUGGGUAUAGGGGCGAAAGACUAAUCGAACUAUCUAAUGGCUGGUUCCUGC
This 1356-nucleotide unclassified non-coding RNA is filed under the name uncultured fungus. RNAcentral describes it as "sequence contains 18S rRNA gene, ITS1, 5.8S rRNA gene, ITS2, 28S rRNA gene". The stretch from base 390 to 1356 matches the Rfam family "Eukaryotic large subunit ribosomal RNA", at positions 1 to 961 of the family's 3401-position model. Lineage: Eukaryota; Fungi. The record is from RNAcentral.